This 601-nucleotide ribosomal RNA is filed under the name Agrobacterium tumefaciens. Its description in RNAcentral is "bacterial SSU rRNA". It matches the Rfam family "Bacterial small subunit ribosomal RNA", at positions 143 to 778 of the family's 1533-position model. Lineage: Bacteria; Pseudomonadati; Pseudomonadota; Alphaproteobacteria; Hyphomicrobiales; Rhizobiaceae. The record is from RNAcentral.
AUAGCUCCGGGAAACUGGAAUUAAUACCGCAUACGCCCUACGGGGGAAAGAUUUAUCGGGGUAUGAUGAGCCCGCGUUGGAUUAGCUAGUUGGUGGGGUAAAGGCCUACCAAGGCGACGAUCCAUAGCUGGUCUGAGAGGAUGAUCAGCCACAUUGGGACUGAGACACGGCCCAAACUCCUACGGGAGGCAGCAGUGGGGAAUAUUGGACAAUGGGCGCAAGCCUGAUCCAGCCAUGCCGCGUGAGUGAUGAAGGCCUUAGGGUUGUAAAGCUCUUUCACCGGAGAAGAUAAUGACGGUAUCCGGAGAAGAAGCCCCGGCUAACUUCGUGCCAGCAGCCGCGGUAAUACGAAGGGGGCUAGCGUUGUUCGGAAUUACUGGGCGUAAAGCGCACGUAGGCGGAUAUUUAAGUCAGGGGUGAAAUCCCAGAGCUCAACUCUGGAACUGCCUUUGAUACUGGGUAUCUUGAGUAUGGAAGAGGUAAGUGGAAUUCCGAGUGUAGAGGUGAAAUUCGUAGAUAUUCGGAGGAACACCAGUGGCGAAGGCGGCUUACUGGUCCAUUACUGACGCUGAGGUGCGAAAGCGUGGGGAGCAAACAGGAU